RNAcentral lists this transfer RNA (82 nucleotides) under Flavobacteriia bacterium. Its description in RNAcentral is "tRNA-Leu". It matches the Rfam family "tRNA". Rfam says of the family: Transfer RNA (tRNA) molecules are approximately 80 nucleotides in length. Their secondary structure includes four short double-helical elements and three loops (D, anti-codon, and T loops). Further hydrogen bonds mediate the characteristic L-shaped molecular structure. tRNAs have two regions of fundamental functional importance: the anti-codon, which is responsible for specific mRNA codon recognition, and the 3' end, to which the tRNAs corresponding amino acid is attached (by aminoacyl-tRNA synthetases). tRNAs cope with the degeneracy of the genetic code in two manners: having more than one tRNA (with a specific anti-codon) for a particular amino acid; and 'wobble' base-pairing, i.e. permitting non-standard base-pairing at the 3rd anti-codon position. The record is from RNAcentral. Lineage: Bacteria; Pseudomonadati; Bacteroidota; Flavobacteriia.
GCGAGGAUGACCGAGCGGUUAAGGUGGACGACUUAAGAUCGUCUGGUUAAUUCCAUGGUGGGUUCGAUUCCCACUCCUCGCA